This 741-nucleotide ribosomal RNA is filed under the name Pseudomonas sp. GZJR-8. RNAcentral's name for it is "bacterial SSU rRNA". It matches the Rfam family "Bacterial small subunit ribosomal RNA", at positions 60 to 796 of the family's 1533-position model. The record is from RNAcentral. Lineage: Bacteria; Pseudomonadati; Pseudomonadota; Gammaproteobacteria; Pseudomonadales; Pseudomonadaceae.
AGUCGAGCGGUAGAGAGAAGCUUGCUUCUCUUGAGAGCGGCGGACGGGUGAGUAAUGCCUAGGAAUCUGCCUGGUAGUGGGGGAUAACGUUCGGAAACGGACGCUAAUACCGCAUACGUCCUACGGGAGAAAGCAGGGGACCUUCGGGCCUUGCGCUAUCAGAUGAGCCUAGGUCGGAUUAGCUAGUUGGUGGGGUAAUGGCUCACCAAGGCGACGAUCCGUAACUGGUCUGAGAGGAUGAUCAGUCACACUGGAACUGAGACACGGUCCAGACUCCUACGGGAGGCAGCAGUGGGGAAUAUUGGACAAUGGGCGAAAGCCUGAUCCAGCCAUGCCGCGUGUGUGAAGAAGGUCUUCGGAUUGUAAAGCACUUUAAGUUGGGAGGAAGGGUUGUAGAUUAAUACUCUGCAAUUUUGACGUUACCGACAGAAUAAGCACCGGCUAACUCUGUGCCAGCAGCCGCGGUAAUACAGAGGGUGCAAGCGUUAAUCGGAAUUACUGGGCGUAAAGCGCGCGUAGGUGGUUUGUUAAGUUGGAUGUGAAAUCCCCGGGCUCAACCUGGGAACUGCAUUCAAAACUGACUGACUAGAGUAUGGUAGAGGGUGGUGGAAUUUCCUGUGUAGCGGUGAAAUGCGUAGAUAUAGGAAGGAACACCAGUGGCGAAGGCGACCACCUGGACUAAUACUGACACUGAGGUGCGAAAGCGUGGGGAGCAAACAGGAUUAGAUACCCUGGUAGUCC